UCUAUUCCUUGUUUCCAAAGUCAAUGUUAGGAUCUGUUGUUUUAUAGAAAUCCAGCAUAUUUUAAAAACUUUUAGAAAAAAAAUCUAAUUAAGACUAUUACAAAAUAUUUUAAAUUUUAACAGAUUAGAGAUAUUCUUGGAAUCGGAAAAAAUAAGGAAAAGAAUGAGAAGAGUGAGUACCAAAAGUUCAUCAAAUUGAUGGGAGGUAUCGCACUGGCACCCUGAGUUCAAGACUGGUCAACACCACUUUGACAUUAUUUACCUCAAUAAAUUAGGCACCCACCGAUUGUCAAAAAGAAAGAAAAGAACAAGAAAGGCAAGUCAUUCGAUAUAACAUAAUCAUAUUUUAUAUCCACUUCUUGUCAGCAACUUCUGCUGCAAUUUCAUUACUUCCAUCAAACAUGAGAAAAUUCUC
This 415-nucleotide long non-coding RNA is filed under the name Phoenix dactylifera (date palm). RNAcentral describes it as "long non-coding RNA (PDAC_LNC001268)". The record is from RNAcentral. Lineage: Eukaryota; Viridiplantae; Streptophyta; Magnoliopsida; Arecales; Arecaceae.